AAAGGGAGACCUAAUUCGGGUAUAAGACGAAAAAAUAGUAGUCGAAACCAAGAAUCAAUCCCAAAAGGUCGGAACGAGGUAUGUGGCUUUCAAACUAGGUUCUGGGUUCAUAAAAGACCUGAAUCAGGAACAAGGGCUAUUAGCUCAGGUGGUUAGAGCGCACCCCUGAUAAGGGUGAGGUCCCUGGUUCGAGUCCAGGAUGGCCCACCUGCACAGGUGGCAAAAACAAGAGAAGCGAGGAAUCAGCACCUUAUCCUAAUUUAUAUAUAGGAGAGAAUGCUGGCUCUGAGUACAGAGUCCAGAGGAACCUUGAAAACUGCAUAGAGCUAGGUGAAAAAGCCAAAAAAGAAGACCGCAAG
This 359-nucleotide transfer RNA is filed under the name uncultured Microcystis sp. Its description in RNAcentral is "partial 16S-23S ribosomal RNA intergenic spacer". The stretch from base 134 to 207 matches the Rfam family "tRNA". Lineage: Bacteria; Bacillati; Cyanobacteriota; Cyanophyceae; Chroococcales; Microcystaceae. The record is from RNAcentral.